This 240-nucleotide ribosomal RNA is filed under the name uncultured bacterium. RNAcentral describes it as "partial 16S ribosomal RNA". It matches the Rfam family "Bacterial small subunit ribosomal RNA", at positions 15 to 249 of the family's 1533-position model. The record is from RNAcentral.
GAUCAUGGCUCAGGAUGAACGCUAGCUACAGGCUUAACACAUGCAAGUCGAGGGGCAGCAUGGUCUAGCAAUAGACUGAUGGCGACCGGCGCACGGGUGAGUAACACGUAUCCAACCUGCCGAUUAUUCCGGGAUAGCCUUUCGAAAGAAAGAUUAAUACUGGAUAGCAUAACGAGAAGGCAUCUUCUUGUUAUUAAAGAAAUUUCGAUAAUCGAUGGGGAGUGCGUUCCGUUAGUUUGG